This is a long non-coding RNA of Topomyia yanbarensis, 565 nucleotides long. RefSeq lists it as uncharacterized. The record is from RefSeq and is a predicted model, not a curated record. Lineage: Eukaryota; Metazoa; Arthropoda; Insecta; Diptera; Culicidae. The transcript has 3 exons.
CAAUUGCUGGCCCAAAGGACGGGUGAUUGCUACCAAGGUUUCACCAGAUGGGCAAGUCAGGUGGGCCACACUGCAAACGUCUAACGGAAUAUAUGAGCGACCAACAGUUAAGCUUGCGGUACUCGACGUUGACGUAGGAAGGAAUGCAUCUCAUGCGGAUCUUCGCUGCAUUGAAGGGGGGAGUGUUAGUUGCGCAACGUCGAUCACCGCGCCGUGCACACCCCUGCUUCGAGACGAUCGCGAACGCCAGCCCUACCCAACGGUUGACAGGAGGAUCGACUACCAUAAGGUCAGCCCUACCCAACCACUGACAAGAGGAUCGACUAUCAAAAGGUCACACCGGUGUGACGAAACUUCAUAUAUAAAAAAUUCAUUGCGCGAGGCGAAUCCUUAAAAUUUAUUAUUCUAACUUAAACCUAAAAAUUUAUUACUACAUUCCGCUGUACAACUAUCUCUACAUUUACUCGGACCUACGGUAAAGUUAAAAGGCUUUAGGAAAACGUAACCUAAAUUUAUUAAUUAAAACAUCAGGACAGGUUUCUACGAAUAAGCACUUUAUUUCGCU